Molecule: RNase P RNA, 334 nt
Filed under: Winkia neuii
Lineage: Bacteria; Bacillati; Actinomycetota; Actinomycetes; Actinomycetales; Actinomycetaceae
Also listed under: 3 other names
Description: RNase P RNA component class A
Rfam family: Bacterial RNase P class A
About the family: Ribonuclease P (RNase P) is a ubiquitous endoribonuclease, found in archaea, bacteria and eukarya as well as chloroplasts and mitochondria. Its best characterised activity is the generation of mature 5'-ends of tRNAs by cleaving the 5'-leader elements of precursor-tRNAs.
Source: RNAcentral
CAAGUUGGCCGGACGGUCGCGGCGCAAGUCGAGGAAAGUCCGGGCUCCACAGGACAGGGUGGUGGCUAACGGCCACCCGGGGUAACCCGCGGGCUAGUGCCACAGAAAAUAAACCGCCGUACGGCAAGGGUGAAAAGGCGAGGUAAGAGCUCACCGCGCGCCAGGUGACUGGAGCGGCAAGGUAAACCCCACCCGGAGCAAGACCGAGCAGCAGAUUGGUUGUCCGCCUUUAUCUGCGGGUAGGUUGCUAGAGCCCUUCGGCAACGUGGGGUGCAGAUGGAUGGCCGUCGCCUUUUCGGAGGUACAGAACCCGGCUUACAGGCCAGCUUUUAAU